This 254-nucleotide ribosomal RNA is filed under the name uncultured bacterium. RNAcentral describes it as "partial 16S ribosomal RNA". It matches the Rfam family "Bacterial small subunit ribosomal RNA", at positions 524 to 776 of the family's 1533-position model. The record is from RNAcentral.
GACGUAGGGUCCAAGCGUUGUCCGGAUUUACUGGGCGUAAAGAGCGCGUAGGCGGUCUGUUAAGUGAGACGUGAAAUCUCCAGGGCUCAACCCGGAAACUGCUUUUCAUACUGGCAGACUUGAGGGAUGCAGAGGUGAAUGGAAUUCCUGGUGUAGCGGUGAAAUGCGUUGAUAUCAGGAGGAACACCCAUGGCGAAGGCAGUUCACUGGGCAUCAUCUGACGCUGAGGCGCGAAAGCGUGGGUAGCAAACAGG